CUUUUCUUCUCCUCUGUCUGAACCCCUCUCCUUCUCGUGUGAUUUGCGCCCGAUGUCGCACCUCUUCUCCACGCGUCACCCCACACCAGACGCCAACUGCCCCUUCCUUCUCAUCCCUUCUCCUUGAUUUUCCAUCGCCGAACCCGUGCUAACCUCCUUCUUCUUUCCUCUCGUUCUCUCUUUCACGGACGAAUCGAAGACGACGGAACAGAGAUUCUACCUUCGGCGAUCGUCGGUGUCGCCUGAGGAGGAAGUCGUCAGAGCUCGACGGUGCCGAGAAAGUCCAAGCUGUAUUCAGCCGAGGGGUCUUUGCUCCGGUGGUGCCUACGGUCGAACGACGACUCCUUGGUGGCUAGGGCACGAUCAGACCAAGCCACGCCAUCGGGAGGUGAUCAAGAAAGGUAAGUCAGCGUCGAUUCUUGCUCUCCUUCCCUCUGGUUGUUGGUGAUUUGGGAGGUCGAAGCAGUGUCACCUACUAACCGGCGAGGCGUGGUCAUCUUCACGAACCAUCAUCUCAAGCUAGUAGCUACUUCUGAUCUAGAGUUGGUAAGGUUGUUGAAUUAAGCUUGAUUGAUCUAAAGUAAAGGUCUAGGUACAGGGCUGAUUUGGGGAAUCAGUUUGGGUGGCUAGCAGCGUCAUCCAACUCCGGCCACCAAUUUCCAGCAUCAAACUUCUCCGAUCGCGGGUCAACAUUAGCACGAUCGAAGUUGGGUGAGUUUGUUUGGAUUGGUUUGAUUCAUUAUGUAGAAGAUUGAUCAUUUAGGGAUGAAUUGGUUAUUGGGUAAUUGAUCGAUGGAUUAGGGUUUCCUGGUUGAAUAAGAAUUUGGAUUUUGUUAA
Molecule: long non-coding RNA, 837 nt
Organism: Zingiber officinale
Lineage: Eukaryota; Viridiplantae; Streptophyta; Magnoliopsida; Zingiberales; Zingiberaceae
Exons: 3
Source: RefSeq, a predicted model, not a curated record